AGAGUUUGAUCCUGGCUCAGGACGAACGCUGGCGGCGGGCUUAACACAUGCAAGUCGAACGAACAGUUCGCCCAAACUUCGGUUAGGUGAAAUGUGAGUGGCGAACGGGUGAGUAACACGUAGGUAACCUACCCUCGAGCGGGGGAUAACCAUUGGAAACGAUGGCUAAUACCGCAUAAAGUCUUGGCAACACAUGUUGCCGGGAUGAAAACUCUGGUGCUCGAGGAUGGACCUGCGGUGGAUUAGGAAGUUGGUGAGGUAACGGCUCACCAAUCCUGCGAUCCAUAGCUGGUCUGAAAGGAUGAUCAGCCACACUGGCACUGAGACACGGGCCAGACUCCUACGGGAGGCAGCAGUGGGGAAUAUUGGGCAAUGGGCGAAAGCCUGACCCAGCCACGCCGCGUGCAGGAUGACACCCCUAUGGGGCGUAAACUGCUUUUAUAUGGGAAGAACCCUCUCGAUUCGUCGGGAGCUGACGGUACCAUACGAAUAAGGACCGGCUAACUCCGUGCCAGCAGCCGCGGUAAUACGGAGGGUCCAAGCGUUGUCCGGAUUUAUUGGGUGUAAAGGGUGUGUAGGCGGGCUUGUAAGUCAGAGGUGAAAUCCUACGGCUCAACCGUAGAACUGCCUUUGAUACUGCAGGUCUUGAGUCCUGGAGAGGUUGUUAGAAUUCGUGGUGUAGCGGUGAAAUGCGUAGAU
This 699-nucleotide ribosomal RNA is filed under the name uncultured bacterium. Its description in RNAcentral is "bacterial SSU rRNA". It matches the Rfam family "Bacterial small subunit ribosomal RNA", at positions 8 to 695 of the family's 1533-position model. The record is from RNAcentral.